UAAUUAGAUCAGAUCUCAAUCCUAGAUAGU
This 30-nucleotide non-coding RNA is filed under the name Mus musculus (house mouse). Lineage: Eukaryota; Metazoa; Chordata; Mammalia; Rodentia; Muridae. The record is from RNAcentral.